CAUAAUGUAGUCUAUUUAAAGACAAUUGGCUUACAACCUUUAGAAGGACAUCCCCAUUAUUA
RNAcentral lists this transfer RNA (62 nucleotides) under Cymothoa indica. RNAcentral's name for it is "tRNA-Val". Lineage: Eukaryota; Metazoa; Arthropoda; Malacostraca; Isopoda; Cymothoidae. The record is from RNAcentral.